RNAcentral lists this ribosomal RNA (238 nucleotides) under uncultured Lactobacillus sp. Its description in RNAcentral is "partial 16S ribosomal RNA". It matches the Rfam family "Bacterial small subunit ribosomal RNA", at positions 125 to 355 of the family's 1533-position model. The record is from RNAcentral. Lineage: Bacteria; Bacillati; Bacillota; Bacilli; Lactobacillales; Lactobacillaceae.
CCGUGCCCAAGAGAUCGGGAUAACACCUGGAAACAGAUGCUAAUACCGGAUAACAACAGAUGAUGCCUAUCAACUGUUUAAAAGAUGGUUCUGCUAUCACUCUUGGAUGGACCUGCGGCGCAUUAGCUAGUUGGUAGGGUAACGGCCUACCAAGGCGAUGAUGCAUAGCCGAGUUGAGAGACUGAUCGGCCACAUUGGGACUGAGACACGGCCCAAACUCCUACGGGAGGCAGCAGCU